Molecule: ribosomal RNA, 336 nt
Filed under: Triticum aestivum (bread wheat)
Lineage: Eukaryota; Viridiplantae; Streptophyta; Magnoliopsida; Poales; Poaceae
Description: partial small subunit ribosomal RNA
Source: RNAcentral
AUGUGCUCUCGGAGGAGGACUCGGUGGCCUGGCCCCACUCUGCAUCUGGGCGUUUUUCCUGUGAAAUCGUUAUAUGGCAAACUCAUAUCUGGAUCGACCACUACCAAAUUUAAGUGGAUCUGGAGGGCCCGCAUCCCUCCUAAGGUUAAGGUCUUCCUAUGGCAAGCUCUACGAGGACGCCUUCCGGGGGUUGACCAGAUUCGCAAGCGUAAUGGUCCGCGAUUUGAUAGAUGUGCUUUAUGUGGCCAGAGAGAAGACACAACUCACAUCUUCUUCAACUGUGUCUUGGCUAGGCUAUUUUGGUGUUGUAUCAGAUCGCGGCUUCAUGUCUCUUGA